GAGGGGUCGACUUCGGCAGGGAGACGGGGGAGGGGGGUCGUUUCCGGCAGAGGGUGAAGGGGAGUGGUGCCGUGUCGGGGUGGGGAAAGGAAUGGGGAAAGGAAUGUGGAAAGGGGAAGGGGUUGGGUGGGAGCGUCGUGGGUGGGGGGAGAGGUCGUCGGUGUCGGCGCCGGGGAAUUUUGUGGUCACCGGCCACUGGCGGCCUGGCAGGGGAGGGGGGUGAGCUGGCAGGGGAGGGUGAGGGGGGGUUGGGUUGGGUUUAUUAUUUUAUUUUUAUAAUUAAUAGAUUUUUUUUUGGAAAUUUUGUCUAGAAGGGACUUAUAUAUUCACUAUUUUGUCUGGAAGGACCUUAUAUGUUCAAAGUGGUCUAAAAGGACCUUAUAAGUUUGUUUUGUUGUCUAGCGGGACCUUGACGUCGGAUUCAGGCGUUUGACUUUUUUACUCCGGCGUUGACUAGUCACAUGACUCUCACAUGACUUAAAAAAUUACCCUCCCUCUUAUUUUUUUUCCCUUUUUUUCCUCCAUUUCCCUUUAUUUGCCCAGAUUUUUCCCCAAAUUGCUUCUCUCUCCUCACGAACUGGGGUUCAUCAUAUCAAUUUAAUCCAUUAUGUUCCUUAAGUUUCUGAAGAAAUUCAAGCAGGCAUCUUUCAAUUGAUUCCUUUACGCAUCAGAAGUUAUCAAAGUGCAAUUGUGGCCUUCCUCGUGCGCAAAGGACUUCAUGGACUCUGUAAUUGUAUUGCAGUAGGGAGUGAACGAAAAUAUGAUGUAAUAAUCCCAAUAUUUGAAUGAAUCAAUGAAGAUUAAUUUGCUUUGAA
This is a long non-coding RNA of Chenopodium quinoa (quinoa), 815 nucleotides long. RefSeq lists it as uncharacterized. NCBI's taxonomy places the organism in Eukaryota, Viridiplantae, Streptophyta, Magnoliopsida, Caryophyllales, Amaranthaceae. The transcript is spliced from 2 exons. The record is from RefSeq and is a predicted model, not a curated record.